RNAcentral lists this microRNA (22 nucleotides) under Mus musculus (house mouse). RNAcentral describes it as "mmu-miR-7058-3p". Lineage: Eukaryota; Metazoa; Chordata; Mammalia; Rodentia; Muridae. The record is from miRBase by way of RNAcentral.
CUCGUUCCUUCCUUUCUUCCAG